AGAGUUUGAUCAUGGCUCAGAUUGAACGCUGGCGGCAUGCUUUACACAUGCAAGUCGAACGGCAGCACGGGGGCAACCCUGGUGGCGAGUGGCGAACGGGUGAGUAAUAUAUCGGAACGUACCCGGAAAUGGGGGGAUAACGUAGCGAAAGUUACGCUAAUACCGCAUAUGCCCUGAGGGGGAAAGCGGGGGAUUCGCAAGAACCUCGCGUUUUCGGAGCGGCCGAUAUCGGAUUAGCUAGUAGGUGAGGUAAAGGCUCACCUAGGCGACGAUCCGUAGCUGGUCUGAGAGGACGACCAGCCACACUGGAACUGAGACACGGUCCAGACUCCUACGGGAGGCAGCAGUGGGGAAUUUUGGAUAAUGGGCGCAAGCCUGAUCCAGCCAUGCCGCGUGAGUGAAGAAGGCCUUCGGGUUGUAAAGCUCUUUCAGCCGGAAAGAAAACGCACGGGUUAAUAACCUGUGUGGAUGACGGUACCGGAAGAAGAAGCACCGGCUAACUACGUGCCAGCAGCCGCGGUAAUACGUAGGGUGCGAGCGUUAAUCGGAAUUACUGGGCGUAAAGCGUGCGCAGGCGGUUUUGUAAGACAGAUGUGAAAUCCCCGGGCUUAACCUGGGAACUGCAUUUGUGACUGCAAGGCUAGAGUACGGCAGAGGGGGGUAGAAUUCCCGUGUAGCAGUGAAAUGCGUAGAUAUGUGGAGGAAUACCGAUGGCGAAGGCAGCCCCCUGGGUCGAUACUGACGCUCAUGCACGAAAGCGUGGGGAGCAAACAGGAUUAGAUACCCUAGUAGUCC
This 795-nucleotide ribosomal RNA is filed under the name uncultured bacterium. RNAcentral describes it as "bacterial SSU rRNA". It matches the Rfam family "Bacterial small subunit ribosomal RNA", at positions 8 to 796 of the family's 1533-position model. The record is from RNAcentral.